UGGGGAAUAUUGCACAAUGGGCGCAAGCCUGAUGCAGCCAUGCCGCGUGUAUGAAGAAGGCCUUCGGGUUGUAAAGUACUUUCAGCGGGGAGGAAGGUGUUGUGGUUAAUAACCUCAGCAAUUGACGUUACCCGCAGAAGAAGCACCGGCUAACUCCGUGCCAGCAGCCGCGGUAAUACGGAGGGUGCAAGCGUUAAUCGGAAUUACUGGGCGUAAAGCGCACGCAGGCGGUCUGUCAAGUCGGAUGUGAAAUCCCCGGGCUUAACCUGGGAACUGCAUCCGAAACUGGCAGGCUUGAGUCUUGUAGAGGGGGGUAGAAUUCCAGGUGUAGCGGUGAAAUGCGUAGAGAUCUGGAGGAAUACCGGUGGCGAAGGCGGCCCCCUGGACAAAGACUGACGCUCAGGUGCGAAAGCGUGGGGAGCAAACA
RNAcentral lists this ribosomal RNA (427 nucleotides) under uncultured bacterium. RNAcentral describes it as "partial 16S ribosomal RNA". It matches the Rfam family "Bacterial small subunit ribosomal RNA", at positions 355 to 774 of the family's 1533-position model. The record is from RNAcentral.